GCUGAAAGCCUGGUGCUUGCACCGGGUGGAUGAGUGGCGAACGGGUGAGUAACACGUGAGUAACCUGCCCCUGACUUCGGGAUAAGCCCGGGAAACUGGGUCUAAUACCGGAUACGACUGCCGGACGCAUGUCUGGUGGUGGAAAGUUUUUUCGGUUGGGGAUGGGCUCGCGGCCUAUCAGUUUGUUGGUGAGGUAAUGGCUCACCAAGACGACGACGGGUAGCCGGCCUGAGAGGGCGACCGGCCACACUGGGACUGAGACACGGCCCAGACUCCUACGGGAGGCAGCAGUGGGGAAUAUUGCACAAUGGGGGAAACCCUGAUGCAGCGACGCAGCGUGCGGGAUGACGGCCUUCGGGUUGUAAACCGCUUUCAGCAGGGAAGAAGCGCAAGUGACGGUACCUGCAGAAGAAGUACCGGCUAACUACGUGCCAGCAGCCGCGGUAAUACGUAGGGUACGAGCGUUGUCCGGAAUUAUUGGGCGUAAAGAGCUCGUAGGUGGUUGGUCACGUCUGCUGUGGAAACGCAACGCUUAACGUUGCGCGUGCAGUGGGUACGGGCUGACUAGAGUGCAGUAGGGGAGUCUGGAAUUCCUGGUGUAGCGGUGAAAUGCGCAGAUAUCAGGAGGAACACCGGUGGCGAAGGCGGGACUCUGGGCUGUAACUGACACUGAGGAGCGAAAGCAUGGGGAGCGAACAGGAUUAGAUACCCUGGUAGUCCAUGCCGUAAACGUUGGGCACUAGGUGUGGGGGGCAUUCCACGUUCUCCGCGCCGUAGCUAACGCAUUAAGUGCCCCGCCUGGGGAGUACGGUCGCAAGGCUAAAACUCAAAGGAAUUGACGGGGGCCCGCACAAGCGGCGGAGCAUGCGGAUUAAUUCGAUGCAACGCGAAGAACCUUACCAAGGCUUGACAUACACCGGACCGUCCUGGAAACAGGUCCUCUUCUUUGAAGCUGGUGUACAGGUGGUUGCAUGGUUGUCGUCAGCUCGUGUCGUGAGAAGGUUUGGGUUAAGUCCCGCAACGAGCGCAACCCUCGUUCUAUGUUGCCAGCAUGUGGAUGGUGGGAACUCAUAGGAGACUGCCG
RNAcentral lists this ribosomal RNA (1084 nucleotides) under uncultured bacterium. RNAcentral describes it as "bacterial SSU rRNA". It matches the Rfam family "Bacterial small subunit ribosomal RNA", at positions 66 to 1154 of the family's 1533-position model. The record is from RNAcentral.